Molecule: ribosomal RNA, 330 nt
Filed under: uncultured bacterium
Lineage: Bacteria
Description: bacterial SSU rRNA
Rfam family: Bacterial small subunit ribosomal RNA
Source: RNAcentral
UGUGUAGGCGGUUCUCUAAGUUCGGUGUGAAAUCUCCCGGCUUAACUGGGAGGGUGCGCCGGAAACUGGAGGGCUGGAGUAUGGGAGAGGAAAGCGGAAUUCCUGGUGUAGCGGUGAAAUGCGUAGAUAUCAGGAGGAACACCUGCGGUGUAGACAGCUUUCUGGACCAUCACUGACGCUGAGACACGAAAGCGUGGGUAGCAAACAGGAUUAGAUACCCUGGUAGUCCACGCCCUAAACGAUGCAUACUUGGUGUGAGCCGUUCAUUCGGUUCGUGCCGGAGUUAACGCGUUAAGUAUGCCGCCUGGGGAGUACGGUCGCAAGGCUGAA